Molecule: non-coding RNA, 24 nt
Filed under: Arabidopsis thaliana (thale cress)
Lineage: Eukaryota; Viridiplantae; Streptophyta; Magnoliopsida; Brassicales; Brassicaceae
Source: RNAcentral
GCUGUUGUUGUAGGUUUGACGAUG